UGACAUGCCACAGAGAGUUGAUCUCUUAC
This 29-nucleotide non-coding RNA is filed under the name Mus musculus (house mouse). Lineage: Eukaryota; Metazoa; Chordata; Mammalia; Rodentia; Muridae. The record is from RNAcentral.